RNAcentral lists this transfer RNA (68 nucleotides) under Panaorus albomaculatus. RNAcentral describes it as "tRNA-Val". The record is from RNAcentral. Lineage: Eukaryota; Metazoa; Arthropoda; Insecta; Hemiptera; Rhyparochromidae.
CAGAUUAAUCUUUAGAAGUAGUAUUAUUUACAAUAAUAUUUUGGUUUGUGCAAUUCAUUCUAAUCUGA